RNAcentral lists this non-coding RNA (28 nucleotides) under Homo sapiens (human). Lineage: Eukaryota; Metazoa; Chordata; Mammalia; Primates; Hominidae. The record is from RNAcentral.
UAAUGGGCUUUUCAGGCAGAAUUUGGGG